RNAcentral lists this transfer RNA (72 nucleotides) under Cordylochernes scorpioides. RNAcentral's name for it is "tRNA-Thr". It matches the Rfam family "tRNA". Rfam says of the family: Transfer RNA (tRNA) molecules are approximately 80 nucleotides in length. Their secondary structure includes four short double-helical elements and three loops (D, anti-codon, and T loops). Further hydrogen bonds mediate the characteristic L-shaped molecular structure. tRNAs have two regions of fundamental functional importance: the anti-codon, which is responsible for specific mRNA codon recognition, and the 3' end, to which the tRNAs corresponding amino acid is attached (by aminoacyl-tRNA synthetases). tRNAs cope with the degeneracy of the genetic code in two manners: having more than one tRNA (with a specific anti-codon) for a particular amino acid; and 'wobble' base-pairing, i.e. permitting non-standard base-pairing at the 3rd anti-codon position. The record is from RNAcentral. Lineage: Eukaryota; Metazoa; Arthropoda; Arachnida; Pseudoscorpiones; Chernetidae.
UCCAGGGUAGCCUAGUGGACAUGGCAUCUGCCCGGUAAGCGAAAGUUGUGGGUUCGAUUCCCGCCCCUGGAC